RNAcentral lists this long non-coding RNA (212 nucleotides) under Glycine max (soybean). RNAcentral describes it as "long non-coding RNA (GMAX_LNC000333)". The record is from RNAcentral. Lineage: Eukaryota; Viridiplantae; Streptophyta; Magnoliopsida; Fabales; Fabaceae.
UGUAAUAAAAGCUCAAAAAUUAAGUUUUUUUCGUAAGGUUCAAAAGCCAAAGAUAUCAGAUAUAAUAAGAACAAACUUCAGAAGGUGAAGGUGAAUAUAAUUUCCUCUAAAUUGUAUUGGUGGCAACCCGUUAGGAAAUUGUUAUGGUGGAAAUUGGUGACUAUGGCCCAUGAUCCACGGCUAUGUUUGGAAGAGAAAAGUGAGGGUUAGAA